GAACACCAAUGAUUAGAGAAACAUAUUACAGGGAUAGUUAAUAAAAUCCUUUAUAAGACGGCUAUAUUCUGUAGAUCAUCACAAAAGCUUCACAAAAUUAUCACGACAGGCGAUAAAAUGAAGUCUCAACUAGCAGUAGUGUUGGUAGUUCUGGGCGUGGCUGCUUAUGCCUCUGCGGGCAGUUAUGGCCCUCAAGGAAUGAUCCAUCAGCAAUAUAUGCGACCUCAAAUCUAUAGACAACAAGCCCAAAUGUAUGCCCAGCAACCUUACGUCCAAUAUGCUUAUGCCCAACCCCAGGUAGCGUACGGACAGGCAGGCGGAUCUGGUGGACUUCUCGGUCAAUCCGGUGCUGCGGCCGGUUCCAUUAUCCCAAUUGUCAUCAUUUUUGUUAUAAUUGCCAUACUUGCACCAGUCCUGAUUGGGUCUUUAGUCUCCAGCAAUGACGUGGUGUACAGCGGUAGCAAAUAGAUAAUGAUGGACUGAUAGGGAAGGGAUUUUUAUUUUAUCGACUGCCUGUGACAUAUUUUGAAAAUAAAUGACUGCAACUA
Molecule: long non-coding RNA, 548 nt
Organism: Magallana angulata
Lineage: Eukaryota; Metazoa; Mollusca; Bivalvia; Ostreida; Ostreidae
Exons: 4
Source: RefSeq, a predicted model, not a curated record